RNAcentral lists this unclassified non-coding RNA (317 nucleotides) under fungal sp. RNAcentral describes it as "partial internal transcribed spacer region". The stretch from base 1 to 46 matches the Rfam family "Eukaryotic small subunit ribosomal RNA", at positions 1786 to 1831 of the family's 1831-position model. Lineage: Eukaryota; Fungi. The record is from RNAcentral.
AAGUCGUAACAAGGUUUCCGUAGGUGAACCUGCGGAAGGAUCAUUAACAAAUCUAUGAGCGAAAGCUCAUCAACCUUUGUGAAUUGGGUUGUAUAGUUGGUAACAAAUAUACAAUUUCGUUGGGGUCCCUUUGUGUAAUAGAAAGAUUAUUUCUAAAGAUUUUCUGAAGAUUAUUUCUAAAGAAUAUUUCUAAAAGAAUAUUUUGAAAGAUUUAAUUUUUUCUAUUGCAUAUAUAUAUUAACAUUGUCUGAUUAUAGAUUGAAGUCGUAAGAUUUCAAAUAAAAAUACAACUUUUAACAAUGGAUCUCUUGGCUCUC